GAUGAAGAACGUAGCGAAAUGCGAUACGUAAUGUGAAUUGCAGAAUUCAGUGAAUCAUCGAGUCUUUGAACGCACAUUGCGCCCCCUGGUAUUCCGGGGGGCAUGCCUGUCCGAGCGUCAUUGCUGCCCUCAAGCACGGCUUGUGUGUUGGGCCUCCGUCCUCCUCCCGGGGGACGGGCCCGAAAGGCAGCGGCGGCACCGCGUCCGGUCCUCGAGCGUAUGGGGCUUCGUCACCCGCUCUUGUAGGCCCGGCCGGCGCUUGCCGACACAUCAAUCUUUUUUCCAGGUUGACCUCAGAUCAGGUAGGAAUACCCGCUGAACUUAAGCAUAUCAAUAAGCGGAGGA
Molecule: unclassified non-coding RNA, 345 nt
Filed under: soil metagenome
Description: partial contains 5.8S ribosomal RNA, internal transcribed spacer 2, and large subunit ribosomal RNA
Rfam family: 5.8S ribosomal RNA (bases 1-120)
Source: RNAcentral